CUUAUAGCCUGUUGGUUCGGCUUAUGGAAAAUUGGGAAAAAAAAGGAGAUCGGAAAUCGAGUCGGCCCUCGUAAUUUUAGGUAGCUCAAGAGAAGGUUGACGAGAG
Molecule: non-coding RNA, 106 nt
Organism: Apis mellifera (honey bee)
Lineage: Eukaryota; Metazoa; Arthropoda; Insecta; Hymenoptera; Apidae
Source: RefSeq, marked provisional